UACGUAGGGUGCGAGCGUUGUCCGGAAUUAUUGGGCGUAAAGAGCUCGUAGGCGGCUUGUCGCGUCGGAUGUGCAAGCCCGGGGCUUAACUCCGGGUCUGCAUUCGAUACGGGCAGGCUAGAGUUCGGUAGGGGAGAUCGGAAUUCCUGGUGUAGCGGUGAAAUGCGCAGAUAUCGGGAAGAACACCCGUGGCGAAGGCGGCUCUCUGGCCCGGUACUGACGCUGAGGUGCGAAAGCGUGGGGAGCAACAGG
RNAcentral lists this ribosomal RNA (252 nucleotides) under uncultured bacterium. RNAcentral's name for it is "partial 16S ribosomal RNA". It matches the Rfam family "Bacterial small subunit ribosomal RNA", at positions 524 to 775 of the family's 1533-position model. The record is from RNAcentral.